This 324-nucleotide unclassified non-coding RNA is filed under the name plant metagenome. RNAcentral's name for it is "partial contains small subunit ribosomal RNA and internal transcribed spacer 1". The stretch from base 1 to 46 matches the Rfam family "Eukaryotic small subunit ribosomal RNA", at positions 1786 to 1831 of the family's 1831-position model. The record is from RNAcentral.
GAGUCGUAACAAGGUUUCUGUAGGUGAACCUGCAGAAGGAUCAUUAGUGAAGAUUCAAGGGCCAGCCAUACAGACGUACAAUAAGUGUGUCUCUGGCGGCUCGCAUCCACUAUACAUCCAUAAACCCGUGUGCACUGUUCUAAGGAGUAAGAAAGAAGAAGAAUGGGGGAGGGAGAGAAGAGUGCAUUGUGCUUUGCAUAUAACUCUCUCACUCUCCGCUCUUUCUCUCUCCCUCUCUCCGGAUUAAAUUACAAACUCGUAUGGGUUUGUAAUGGAACGUGAGAUAUAUCGUUGGACCGUCACUGGCCAACGAAUAUAACACAA